UACAGAGGGUGCAAGCGUUAAUCGGAAUUACUGGGCGUAAAGCGUGCGUAGACGGUAGCGUAAGUCGGGUGUGAAAGCCCCGGGCUCAACCUGGGAACGGCGAUGGAUACUGGCGGGCUAGAGUGCGGUAGGGGGUGGUGGAAUUCCCGGUGUAGCAGUGAAAUGCGUAGAGAUGUGGAGGAACACCGAUGGCGAAGGCAGCCCCCUGGGUCAAGAUUGACGCUCAUGCACGAAAGCGUGGGGAGCAACAGG
This 252-nucleotide ribosomal RNA is filed under the name uncultured bacterium. RNAcentral's name for it is "partial 16S ribosomal RNA". It matches the Rfam family "Bacterial small subunit ribosomal RNA", at positions 524 to 775 of the family's 1533-position model. The record is from RNAcentral.